AAUAAGACUACUUUUUAGUUUUUCAAUACAAUGUUUUUGACUCUUCGUCUUAUUUGAAAAUCUUUUGUAAUUAAUAUUUUUUUAUUCUUACUAGAUGAUAAAACAUAAAUAGUACUUUAUGCGUUAGUAAUUUUUUAAGUUUUUUAUAAAUUUUUCAAAUAAGACAAAUGGUCAAACUUUAGACAUGGAAAAAC
This 194-nucleotide microRNA precursor is filed under the name Oryza brachyantha (malo sina). RNAcentral's name for it is "MIR812 microRNA precursor family". It matches the Rfam family "MIR812 microRNA precursor family". The record is from Rfam by way of RNAcentral. Lineage: Eukaryota; Viridiplantae; Streptophyta; Magnoliopsida; Poales; Poaceae.